AACGAACGCUGGCGGCAUGCCUAACACAUGCAAGUCGAACGACACCUUAGGGACUACUGGCGCACGCGUGCGUAACGCGUGGGAACCUGCCCUUAGGUUCGGAAUAACUCCUCGACAGGGGUGCUAAUACCGGAUAAUGUCUGCGAACCCAAGAUUUAUCGCGUUUGGAUGGGCCCGCGUUCGUUUACCUAGUUGGUAUGGUAAGAGCCUAUCAAGGCGACGAUCCACAGCUGGUCUGAGAGGAUGAUCCGCCACUCUGGGAAUGAGACACAGCGCAGACUAUUGCGGAAGGCAGCAAUGGGGAAUAUAGGAAAACGGGCUAAAGCCUGAAGCAGCAAUGCCGGGUGAGUGAUGAUGUUCGUAAAGUUGUACAGCACGUUUAUCCCGGACGAUAAUGACAGUACCGAAAGAAUAAGCACCGGCUAACUCCGUG
Molecule: ribosomal RNA, 433 nt
Filed under: uncultured bacterium
Lineage: Bacteria
Description: partial 16S ribosomal RNA
Rfam family: Bacterial small subunit ribosomal RNA
Source: RNAcentral